UACGAAGGGGGCUAGCGUUGCUCGGAAUGACUGGGCGUAAAGGGCGCGUAGGCGGUUUGUACAGUCAGAUGUGAAAUUCCCGGGCUCAACCUGGGGGCUGCAUUUGAUACGUAUGGACUUGAGUUCGGAAGAGGGUCGUGGAAUUCCCAGUGUAGAGGUGAAAUUCGUAGAUAUUGGGAAGAACACCGGUGGCGAAGGCGGCAUCCUGGACCAAUUCUGACGCUGAGGAGCGAAAGCCAGGGGAGCAAACGGG
Molecule: ribosomal RNA, 253 nt
Filed under: uncultured prokaryote
Description: partial 16S ribosomal RNA
Rfam family: Bacterial small subunit ribosomal RNA
Source: RNAcentral